UGGCAUGUAGUAGGCUCAGUAAAUGCUUGCUGAGUGACCCUACGGGUUAUCAAGCCCUGGCUCUCUAUUUUCUCAGAAAAAAAGCAGCCCUUCUGCCCCUAAAAAAAGUCUACAAAGUCAACUGUGAGACCAGACCUUGACCUGUUCCGUUUGGCGCUCUGGAUUGCGGAGCAUACCGAGGAGUCCUGGGUACUUUCUUUGUUAAGUGGGGUGUGUGUUGUUUUUGUUUUCAAAGCUGGCCUGGAGGCUCUGGGUUGCCAUGGCAACUCUUGAGCAGGGCCGCCUUUUCCCUUCCCUCCAUCUUGGGAGCCCUGGUUGCCAUAACAACUGAUUGGUCCUCUCCUCUUCCUCCAGCUCUGCCACAGGGCUCCAGCUUCCCUCUGGGGGCACCACUGUUCUUAGGUCUGGGGCAACCCUGAUUUCACUUGACCCAUGUACCUUGGGACCCUCUUGAGAGGAGAUAUGGCAGAGCAGAUGCAAUGGCACCCCUGAGCUGCCCUCAGGGAGUCCUCAGCCUUGGAGGAGGCAGGAGACCUGGGCUAUGGAGCCACUCACAGGCCCUACUGAGAACAACUUGGUAUCCAUCACAGUCCUCUUCAGAAUGCCCAGAAUAUGGGGAUAAGACGGUGAAACCGGCGUGUUUAUUAACACAAUGGAAUAUUCUGUGGCCAAAUCAAAGGAAGACGUUGAGGAUACUGGUGACACCUGGAAACGUACUGCUAAGGGAAAAAAGCAGGACCACAAUGUUAUGUGGAUAUUGACUGCGACUAUAUAAUGCCAGCGUGGACUUCUCAGAGAUGGAAUUUGGAGGAAUGUAAUACAGAUGCAAAUAGAGUUUUCCCCACACUG
Pan troglodytes (chimpanzee) is the source of this 849-nucleotide long non-coding RNA. RefSeq lists it as uncharacterized. The transcript has 2 exons. NCBI's taxonomy places the organism in Eukaryota, Metazoa, Chordata, Mammalia, Primates, Hominidae. The record is from RefSeq and is a predicted model, not a curated record.